This is a small nuclear RNA of Bison bison bison, 107 nucleotides long. NCBI's taxonomy places the organism in Eukaryota, Metazoa, Chordata, Mammalia, Artiodactyla, Bovidae. The record is from Ensembl.
GGGCUAGCCUUGGUAGCACGUCUGCUAAAAUUAGAUUGAUACAGAGAGGAUUAUCAUGGUUCCUGAGCAAGAAUGAGGCACAAAUUCCAGAACUAUUCUGUUAUUUA